GGGGAAAAAGGCCUCUUGCCUCUUUUGCCUUCCUCUACACAAAGGACGCUGUAGCCUAGCAGCACAUUUAGCUGGCAAACACAGAGGCAAGUGACUAGAAAUAAUCUGCUACUUCCCCAACAGACGGACCACAGCCCCUUUUUCUUUUCUCUCUCUCUCUCUCUUUUUUUUUCCCUCUGUCGUGUACCCUAACAGCUAACUAGAAAACCUAGUGACCAAAAAGUUAGGGACUGCAGCAUAGCAGAGUCAGGGAAAGGAUUGAUGACCAGUGGCUUGAGAGAAAGACACAGACACACACAUGGGAUUUAAACAGCCUCAGGUCGCCACCUAACCCACUAGAGAGAGGAAAUUGAAGGGCAACCUAGCAGCCUUGGGCUGUAUUUGCAGUGGGUGACAGCACCCCCCAACCCCACGCCCUGUUCUGCGGCAAGCUGUGAAACAGGAUAGAGAAGUGCCAGUGGGGGUGAAACAGGAGGCUGUGCAAAGACCGAGUGGAGCCAACUGUACACAGGACUGGGAGCAGCGCCGGGCUUUCCCUGCCUGAGGGCGCCACAGCAACCCAUGGUCCCAAAGAUGAGGACUCCAGUAAGGUACCCAGUGGAAGCGCCUCUCAGCAGGCAUCGGCCGACUUCAGGAGGCUCCUGAUCAACAGAAGCAAGACUGUACAGCUGGACCAUCUUCAAGGAGACUGGAAUUAGACUUCCUCUUUUGAUCUGAAGACCAUGAAAAAAUUUGAGGAUAUGUUUCUAAACCAUUACAGAAAUCUUCGAGAAGAAAUGGACAGCAAGGAAAGACACUGUGGAACAAAGUACACUGGCUGGAGAGGGAAAUAAAUUCACAUGAGGUUCGAUAUAAGCACCACUCUCUGGCUCUGAUGCCUCUUUGAUGUGGAGGGCAUGAUGAGCACCUGUGAUCCUAGCACCCCAGAGGCUGAGGCAGGAGGAUCUCCAUGAGUUCGAGGCCAGCCUGAACUGCAAAGUGAGACCCUGUCUGAAGAAAAUAACCAAAAUAAACAAACAAACAAGAAAGUGUCCUUUUUGUGAGUUGUAUACAAACGAUACACCUUUACCAAAAUAACUCAGAAAGGUUUAAAAAUAAAAGAUAAACCAAAGUACAUCAGAAAAUACCAAGUUGAAGCUGUAAUGUAACCAUCAACCAAACUUAUAUUAAAAUAAUGUUAUUGCUGGGUGUAGUGGUCCACACCUUAGGAGGCUGA
This 1216-nucleotide long non-coding RNA is filed under the name Heterocephalus glaber (naked mole-rat). RNAcentral's name for it is "lncRNA (ENSHGLG00100038754.1)". Lineage: Eukaryota; Metazoa; Chordata; Mammalia; Rodentia; Bathyergidae. The record is from RNAcentral.